GACGAACGCUGGCGGCGUGCUUAACACAUGCAAGUCGAACGGAAAGGCCUCUUUCGGGGGGUACUCGAGUGGCGAACGGGUGAGUAACACGUGAGUAACCUGCCCUUGACUUUGGGAUAACUUCAGGAAACUGGGGCUAAUACCGGAUAGGAGCUCCUGCUGCAUGGUGGGGGUUGGAAAGUUUCGGCGGUUGGGGAUGGACUCGCGGCUUAUCAGCUUGUUGGUGGGGUAGUGGCUUACCAAGGCUUUGACGGGUAGCCGGCCUGAGAGGGUGACCGGCCACAUUGGGACUGAGAUACGGCCCAGACUCCUACGGGAGGCAGCAGUUGGGAAUAUUGCACAAUGGGUGGAAGCCUGAUGCAGCAACGCCGUGUGCGGGAUGACGGCCUUCGGGUUGUAAACCGCUUUCGCUCAUGACGAAGCUUUGUGUGACGGUAGUGGGUAAAGAAGCACCGGCUAACUACGUG
This 467-nucleotide ribosomal RNA is filed under the name uncultured bacterium. RNAcentral describes it as "partial 16S ribosomal RNA". It matches the Rfam family "Bacterial small subunit ribosomal RNA", at positions 28 to 507 of the family's 1533-position model. The record is from RNAcentral.